This 72-nucleotide transfer RNA is filed under the name Solanum tuberosum (potato). It matches the Rfam family "tRNA". From Rfam's summary of the family: Transfer RNA (tRNA) molecules are approximately 80 nucleotides in length. Their secondary structure includes four short double-helical elements and three loops (D, anti-codon, and T loops). Further hydrogen bonds mediate the characteristic L-shaped molecular structure. tRNAs have two regions of fundamental functional importance: the anti-codon, which is responsible for specific mRNA codon recognition, and the 3' end, to which the tRNAs corresponding amino acid is attached (by aminoacyl-tRNA synthetases). tRNAs cope with the degeneracy of the genetic code in two manners: having more than one tRNA (with a specific anti-codon) for a particular amino acid; and 'wobble' base-pairing, i.e. permitting non-standard base-pairing at the 3rd anti-codon position. Lineage: Eukaryota; Viridiplantae; Streptophyta; Magnoliopsida; Solanales; Solanaceae. The record is from Rfam by way of RNAcentral.
UCCUCAGUAGCUCAGUGGUAAAGCGAUCAAUUGUUAACUAAUUGGUCAUAGGUCCGAGCCCUACUUGGAGAG